GUGAAUCAUCAAAUUUUUGAACGCGAAUUGCACUCUCAGGUAUUCCGGAGAGUAUGCCUGUUUGAGGGUCAGUUUAAAUAAAAAUCGGUGUGGUUGCGGCCUUUCGUUGUGACGCACCGGAUUUGGGUCGUCUUGCCUUGGGUUAAGUGACCUAAAAUCUUGCAUUAUUUUUUUCUAACGUAUUUAAAUGAUUUUACGUAGGUUUUUUAUAUCGAAUACUAGGUGUGGGCAUUCU
RNAcentral lists this unclassified non-coding RNA (235 nucleotides) under Glomeraceae sp. Its description in RNAcentral is "partial contains 5.8S ribosomal RNA and internal transcribed spacer 2". The stretch from base 1 to 71 matches the Rfam family "5.8S ribosomal RNA", at positions 84 to 154 of the family's 154-position model. Lineage: Eukaryota; Fungi; Glomeromycota; Glomeromycetes; Glomerales; Glomeraceae. The record is from RNAcentral.